AGAAUCAACGCUGGCGGCGUGCCUAACACAUGCAAGUCGAACGAGAAAGUGGAGCAAUCCAUGAGUAAAGUGGCGUACGGGUGAGUAACACGUGACUAACCUACCCUCGAGUGGGGAAUAACCUCGGGAAACCGGGGCUAAUACCGCAUAAUAUCUUCGGAUCAAAUGCGUAAGCAGCUUGAGGAGGGGGUCGCGGCCGAUUAGCUAGUUGGCGGGGUAAUGGCCCACCAAGGCAAUGAUCGGUA
RNAcentral lists this ribosomal RNA (245 nucleotides) under uncultured bacterium. RNAcentral describes it as "partial small subunit ribosomal RNA". It matches the Rfam family "Bacterial small subunit ribosomal RNA", at positions 26 to 285 of the family's 1533-position model. The record is from RNAcentral.